GGAGGGGUGGCCGAGUGGUUAAAGGCAACAGAUUGUAAAUCUGUCCUCUUAAGAGUUCGCUGGUUCGAAUCCAGCUCCCUCCACCA
Molecule: transfer RNA, 86 nt
Filed under: Noviherbaspirillum denitrificans
Lineage: Bacteria; Pseudomonadati; Pseudomonadota; Betaproteobacteria; Burkholderiales; Oxalobacteraceae
Description: tRNA-Tyr
Rfam family: tRNA
About the family: Transfer RNA (tRNA) molecules are approximately 80 nucleotides in length. Their secondary structure includes four short double-helical elements and three loops (D, anti-codon, and T loops).
Source: RNAcentral